GCCUCCUUAGCUCAGUCGGCAGAGCGUUUCCAUGGUAAGGAAAAGGUCGAGAGUUCGAUUCUCUCAGGGGGCU
Molecule: transfer RNA, 73 nt
Filed under: Acidimicrobiia bacterium
Lineage: Bacteria; Bacillati; Actinomycetota; Acidimicrobiia
Also listed under: 1 other name
Description: tRNA-Thr
Rfam family: tRNA
About the family: Transfer RNA (tRNA) molecules are approximately 80 nucleotides in length. Their secondary structure includes four short double-helical elements and three loops (D, anti-codon, and T loops).
Source: RNAcentral